This 380-nucleotide ribosomal RNA is filed under the name uncultured eukaryote. Its description in RNAcentral is "partial 18S ribosomal RNA". It matches the Rfam family "Eukaryotic small subunit ribosomal RNA", at positions 592 to 976 of the family's 1831-position model. The record is from RNAcentral.
CAAUAGCGUAUAUUAAAGUUGUUGCGGUUAAAAAGCUCGUAGUUGGAUUUCUGCCGAGGACGACCGGUCCGCCCUCUGGGUGUGUAUCUGGUUUGGCCUGGGCAUCUUCUUGGAGAACGUAGCUGCACUUGACUGUGUGGUGCGGUGUCCAGGACUUUUACUUUGAGGAAAUUAGAGUGUUUCAAGCAGGCACACGCCUUGAAUACAUUAGCAUGGAAUAAUAAGAUAGGACCUCGGUUCUAUUUUGUUGGUUUCUAGAGCUGAGGUAAUGAUUAAUAGGGAUAGUUGGGGGCAUUCGUAUUCAGAUGUCAGAGGUGAAAUCCUUGGAUUUUCGGAAGACGAACAACUGCGAAGGCAUUUACCAAGGAUGUUUUCAUUAA